RNAcentral lists this long non-coding RNA (713 nucleotides) under Androctonus crassicauda. The record is from RNAcentral. Lineage: Eukaryota; Metazoa; Arthropoda; Arachnida; Scorpiones; Buthidae.
GUAGUUUUAGUUUAAUACUAUAUAGUAAAUACAAAAUUUUAUUUAAAGUUUUUAAUUGUAAAAAAUAUUUCAUUACUAUGAUUAAUAAAAUUUUCUGCUAAGGUGCAUUUUUUCUUGAUUUGCAUAAUUUAUUAGUUGAUUCCAGACAAAUAAAUUGUUAAUGGAAUAAUGUUUUUGAUAAGUGAACUAGUAUGGGCAAAUAAACACAAUGAUGAUAAAAUUGGACUGAAUAGGAUUCCUAAAAAUGAAAAAGUUUUCUAUUCAACAGUAUAUAUGAUGGAAUGCUAAAAAUUCUUUCCCUUGCUAUGUUGUAUGUGUGUUAUAGAUCUGUAAUCGUAAACAAUGAUAACUUACUAUUUUAUUGAUAUGCAUGUCAUUUUUUGUUUUGACAGGUCCAGUUAACCAGAGUUAGGAAUGUGAUAGUAGAUGUCAUAAAAGCUGGGCAAAAUUUAAUAUCAAGCCAUGAUACAAUUCCCUCAUCUUCAAGAGAAAACUGCACAAAUGAUCUAUGAAGAGAUGUCAGCAGUGUAUGUUGAGGAAUGUCUAUCAUAUGAAAACUGGAAUGAUGGAAACAGAAAUUUAGAUGUAGUUGCCAUCAGCCUACAGGAUGACUCAAGAGAAGGCCAUCCAACAAGAUUAUAUCUGUUUUGGGAUAGCAAAGGUGUCAUAUUUAUAGAUUACAUAUAAAAAAGGUCUACAAUAACAGAGGCAUG